RNAcentral lists this ribosomal RNA (1448 nucleotides) under uncultured organism. Its description in RNAcentral is "SSU rRNA". It matches the Rfam family "Bacterial small subunit ribosomal RNA". The record is from RNAcentral.
AACGCUAGCUACAGGCUUAACACAUGCAAGUCGAGGGGCAGCAUGGUCUUAGCUUGCUAAGGCCGAUGGCGACCGGCGCACGGGUGAGUAACACGUAUCCAACCUGCCGUCUACUCUUGGACAGCCUUCUGAAAGGAAGAUUAAUACAAGAUGGCAUCAUGAGUCCGCAUGUUCACAUGAUUAAAGGUAUUCCGGUAGACGAUGGGGAUGCGUUCCAUUAGAUAGUAGGCGGGGUAACGGCCCACCUAGUCUUCGAUGGAUAGGGGUUCUGAGAGGAAGGUCCCCCACAUUGGGACUGAGACACGGUCCAAACUCCUACGGGAGGCAGCAGUGAGGAAUAUUGGUCAAUGGGCGAGAGCCUGAACCAGCCAAGUAGCGUGAAGGAUGACUGCCCUAUGGGUUGUAAACUUCUUUUAUAAAGGAAUAAAGUCGGGUAUGCAUACCCGUUUGCAUGUACUUUAUGAAUAAGGAUCGGCUAACUCCGUGCCAGCAGCCGCGGUAAUACGGAGGAUCCGAGCGUUAUCCGGAUUUAUUGGGUUUAAAGGGAGCGUAGAUGGAUGUUUAAGUCAGUUGUGAAAGUUUGCGGCUCAACCGUAAAAUUGCAGUUGAUACUGGAUAUCUUGAGUGCAGUUGAGGCAGGCGGAAUUCGUGGUGUAGCGGUGAAAUGCUUAGAUAUCACGAAGAACUCCGAUUGCGAAGGCAGCCUGCUAAGCUGCAACUGACAUUGAGGCUCGAAAGUGUGGGUAUCAAACAGGAUUAGAUACCCUGGUAGUCCACACGGUAAACGAUGAAUACUCGCUGUUUGCGAUAUACGGCAAGCGGCCAAGCGAAAGCGUUAAGUAUUCCACCUGGGGAGUACGCCGGCAACGGUGAAACUCAAAGGAAUUGACGGGGGCCCGCACAAGCGGAGGAACAUGUGGUUUAAUUCGAUGAUACGCGAGGAACCUUACCCGGGCUUAAAUUGCAGAUGAAUUACGGUGAAAGCCGUAAGCCGCAAGGCAUCUGUGAAGGUGCUGCAUGGUUGUCGUCAGCUCGUGCCGUGAGGUGUCGGCUUAAGUGCCAUAACGAGCGCAACCCUUGUUGUCAGUUACUAACAGGUUCCGCUGAGGACUCUGACAAGACUGCCAUCGUAAGAUGUGAGGAAGGUGGGGAUGACGUCAAAUCAGCACGGCCCUUACGUCCGGGGCUACACACGUGUUACAAUGGGGGGUACAGAGGGCCGCUACCACGCGAGUGGAUGCCAAUCCCAAAAACCUCUCUCAGUUCGGACUGGAGUCUGCAACCCGACUCCACGAAGCUGGAUUCGCUAGUAAUCGCGCAUCAGCCACGGCGCGGUGAAUACGUUCCCGGGCCUUGUACACACCGCCCGUCAGGCCAUGGGAGCCGGGGGUACCUGAAGUGCGUAACCGCGAGGAGCGCCCUAGGGUAAAACUGGUGACUGGGGCUAA